This 800-nucleotide ribosomal RNA is filed under the name Pedobacter sp. 01xTSA28A_A04. RNAcentral's name for it is "bacterial SSU rRNA". It matches the Rfam family "Bacterial small subunit ribosomal RNA", at positions 117 to 918 of the family's 1533-position model. Lineage: Bacteria; Pseudomonadati; Bacteroidota; Sphingobacteriia; Sphingobacteriales; Sphingobacteriaceae. The record is from RNAcentral.
GUAUGCAACCUACCUCAAUCAGGGGGAUAGCCCGAAGAAAUUCGGAUUAACACCGCAUAAAAACACAGGAUAGCAUUAUCCAAUGUUCAAAUAUUUAUAGGAUUGAGAUGGGCAUGCGUGUCAUUAGUUAGUUGGCGGGGUAACGGCCCACCAAGACCACGAUGACUAGGGGAUCUGAGAGGAUGACCCCCCACACUGGUACUGAGACACGGACCAGACUCCUACGGGAGGCAGCAGUAAGGAAUAUUGGUCAAUGGAGGCAACUCUGAACCAGCCAUGCCGCGUGCAGGAAGACAGCCCUCUGGGUCGUAAACUGCUUUUAUUCGGGAAUAAACCUACUUACGUGUAAGUAGCUGAAUGUACCGAAGGAAUAAGGAUCGGCUAACUCCGUGCCAGCAGCCGCGGUAAUACGGAGGAUCCAAGCGUUAUCCGGAUUUAUUGGGUUUAAAGGGUGCGUAGGCGGCUUAUUAAGUCAGGGGUGAAAGACGGUGGCUCAACCAUCGCAGUGCCCUUGAUACUGAUGAGCUUGAAUACACUAGAGGUAGGCGGAAUGUGACAAGUAGCGGUGAAAUGCAUAGAUAUGUCACAGAACACCGAUUGCGAAGGCAGCUUACUAUGGUGUCAUUGACGCUGAGGCACGAAAGCGUGGGGAUCAAACAGGAUUAGAUACCCUGGUAGUCCACGCCCUAAACGAUGAAUACUCGCUGUUAGCGAUACACAGUUAGCGGCUAAGCGAAAGCGUUAAGUAUUCCACCUGGGGAGUACGCCCGCAAGGGUGAAACUCAAAGGAAUUGACGGGG